CUGUACUUUCCCUACCCACUGUGUCUGUUGUCGUGCUUUUGGGUUCCUAAUCUGUCUACUUGAAAAAGUUUGCAUGUGUGUGCGAAGUGCAAUCAGGGCAAUUAGUUCCGCUGCCUGUGUGGAAUAGUGUGGAAGUAGUGGCUGUGCGUUCAAGGUUUAUUUGCUUGAACCAUCAACAAACAAUGGUUAAAUCAGCUUCUGGAAAAGGCAUAUCUCGUAGGUCAGCUCUGGCUGCCUGUUUUAUCUGUCUUUGCUACACAAUCAUGUGGAUUACCAUCCUCUGCCAGGACAUCUUGUUGGAUAAGGAACAUGUGGAAGCAUCAUUCAUGUCAACUAAUAGGAAGAUGAAAAAAGCUAUCAUCCAUCUAAGAGAUAAAGGGAAACGGGGGGUGCCUUGUUUCUUGAGAGACGCAAGCGGUCAAUACAGGUUGGAGUUAUCAGUUGGGGUGUGAUGGAUGUCUGCAAAGGAGAAGACUCAGGAAAGUCUCAUGAUUACCAUAGAGAUUUCCACAUCAACCUCUUUAAAGUACAGCAGUUCUUGAAGGACAACUUGGUGGAUGAGACUCUAACAUUUAUAGACUGAAAUAUUUUCUCAUGUAUUAAAAAAACACCUUGUUUUCAGGGCCCGGAAUCGAUUUUACCACUCUUUCAAGACACAUGAAUGUCAGUCCUUUAACUUUUAAUUUGAAUUUGAAUUUUUCUGAAUUUAUCUCUUUUGUUUGAUAGCAUUACAGCAACUUUGUGUAUUUAAAACACAUAUUGCUGACAUGAAUGAAUCAAUAAAGAUGAAAUUAU
Long non-coding RNA from Clupea harengus (Atlantic herring), 795 nucleotides. Lineage: Eukaryota; Metazoa; Chordata; Actinopteri; Clupeiformes; Clupeidae. The record is from Ensembl.